This is a long non-coding RNA of Diorhabda sublineata, 5564 nucleotides long. RefSeq lists it as uncharacterized. NCBI's taxonomy places the organism in Eukaryota, Metazoa, Arthropoda, Insecta, Coleoptera, Chrysomelidae. The record is from RefSeq and is a predicted model, not a curated record. The transcript has 3 exons.
ACUUUUUCGCUUGACAAGUACAGACUAAAGUCUUUGAGCCGGCGUUAUUGUUUGUUUCACACUUACGUUUUAAUAUGGGUGGUGUUAGAUUUUUAUAGAAUUAGAUGCAUUAUUAAAUGGUUGUAUUAGUAGCUUGAAACUAAUUUCCCAACUUAAAUAUUAUUUCAUUAAAAUGCAAAUAGUUAAAAAGGAGUUUAAUGGAAGUGAGUUCUUGUUCUUUGGAUGGAUCAGUGUAACUUGAAGAUAUUACUCAUCCCAUAAUCAUAAUCUAUUCUAAUAAUUAUUGUCUAUUCAACGUAGUAAGAAAUGUGGCAACAAGUGAUUAUUUCUUUAGCUACUACAGUGGAAGUGAUAAGUGUCCUCUUUGGGAAUAUCUUCGCCGUUUUAGAAAAGAAAAUACUUUAUUUGACAUGAAUUAUAUGUAAUAAACAAUAAGGUAUGCAAUACGGUUAUGAAUAGAAGCAAGAAAAACAUAAUAAUGUCUCUUCACAUACGUGUUUGUUCACGAAGGAUUCUUAACUCCUGCCAUCUUACAAGUAUCUACAGAGAUUCUUCGAUUGUAUUGAAAUCAUAGAUUGCCUACUAUUAGGCAACCCAAAAGUGGACUGUAUUUGUGUAAAAUAUGAGGGCGAAUAACUAAGUACAGACACAGGGUGCUUAGAAAGUUUUAUGUCAAAUGUAAAUAACAUAUACUAGGGUAUGGGCUUGAAAAAUUUUGAAAAAGCAUAACGAAAAUACAGACAACUUAAUUUUAUAAUAAUAAUGGUGUUUAUAAGUCGAAAGGAUUAGAACAAACUUACAAAGUGGAUAUAUUUUUUAUCACCCAAGAUUAGUUUCAAAUAGGUACUAAGUCAUCAGUGCUGAUUAUGUAGGAGAGCUACCGGCCUGUUUGGUGAAGUGCUAUUGGCUAGAGCAGAGGUUUUCAAAUGAUGGAACUUUUUUGGCAAGAGAAAUACUUCACUGAACUCUAAAAUAAAACAAAUAUGUCUUUAUGUGCAUUCUUUAUCAAUCAUUAUAAUAUGGAUAGGUAUCACAUAAAAAAAGGUUGAAGGAUCUAAUGAGAGGUGUGAAACUGUUUCUUGUCUUUUUGUCAAUUGGUUGAUGUCAGGUUUGAUGGGAGAUAGUUGAAGUCUCAUGUCAGGUUUGACGUCUAGUCUAUUGCAGUAUUUCGAUUUAGUAGCUGCAUAGGUUGAAAAUCCUAUUUCACACAAGUGUGUUGUUGAGAUGCUGGACCAAUUCUUCAAAUAUAUCAUCUUGAAACAUUUCUGAGUCGCUAUCACUAACAAGCUCAUUGAGUGACAUAAAGCUUUCUAUUUCUUUCGUACCAAUGAAAAUAACCCAAGAAUUUAUUUUUUUAGGACAGUAAUUCUGUUAAGGGCCUCGAACAUUGUUGUCUCAUUACAUUGUUAUGAUAAAUUCCAUCCGUUCAAGUCCAAGUUCAAGAUAUCCGCCAUAAAAGACAGUCGGAACAACCAAGUUUUAGCAUAAAAACAGUUUUUCAAAUUAAAAGAAAUAUCUGUUAAGAAUGUUUAUAAUCCCACUCUAAGUUUGAAUAGCCUUGUUAAAAUUGUACCGUGAGAUAACCAUUGCACUUCUGUAUGGAGCAGCAGUGUUUUAUGUUUGCUGCCAUAAUCUGCACAUAAUAAUGAGAAUAAUCGGAAUUGCAGUGGUCGUUAUUUAAUGAAAUUUAUGUUCACUGCUUCAUAGAGGAAUAAUUUUAGAAUUUUCUUUUCGCAAGUGCCUGUCUAUGCAGGAUACAAACAAAACGAAUCAUCUGGACUUGAUGAUUUACUAAUUUACUCGACUAAAUUGCAACAAUUGAGAGACUUCGCCUAGCACAUUUGGAUUAUGGCUGGGCUAUGGUGUAUUUAUUUUGACGACAAAGAGUUAAUUUGUUGAUAAAAUGGAUCAGUUUGUUUGUGGUUCAUCAGACAUUUUGCCCCGAAUAGAUUCCCUUGCAAUGGCUAGUUAUUUUACCACAAAUAACGAUUUUAUGAUUAUUGAAAUCUACAGUUCAAAAGCAUCAAGGUAAUCAGUUCUAAUUGUAUAUCAAUUAUUGUAAAGAUGUUUUGCAGGAAAAGUAUUUACAUGUGAAACUGCUCUUUUUAUUGGAGAACAUGAUUCAUAUAAUUAACCCACUGAGUCUUUCAUUACCUCUUCAACUUCAUAUAAUUUACACAAGAUGUUCUAAUGAUCAUUUUAUCUUUAUAAUAGUAUGAAAAUACAUAAGUUUGAGAAAUUUGUCUAGCCUUUAAUGGCUUUUAUAAUGAUUUAUAUUGAUAUUUGCAAAAAAUAGAAUACCCAUUCCAUGGUUCUGUGUUUUGCUUUCUAAUAUAAUAUGAAAGAGAAACUUGUUAUUUUAAUUUUAACUAUAAGACAAUAAAAUUUAGCAUUAGCAUACUCCACUGUGCUGAGAUAAAAUCGAAUUUGGUGAAUAUGAAUAAAAGAAGAAGGUAGCUUAUAUCGUAAUUUACGACCUUUAAAUAAAAAAUUGCGACUGUUGAAAAAUCUGUAAAAUUAACGUUUUUUUCACUUUUCUCCCAUAGCAAUUUUUUUUCAAAUAUUUUAUUUCUGGUAAAUUUCGAUAGAAUACAACAAAUCAAAUAAAACGUACAAAUAAAUAAAAAAAAUAUGUCGUUUGGUUACAAAGAAUAACUCAGUGCAGAUUAAAACAUGACAUUUUGGGCAAAAUGUGUUUAAACUUUGAAGAUCAGCUGUCGGUCGCUCCAAAUUAUUUUAGCUGAAACGAGUAUUUCAGAAAACCUAUGUAAGCAAAUUUUCAGAACACUAGUCACAGUACUUUCCCAUAUACAUAUUGAUUCAGCUCGUCGUGAAGGACCCUGUACAUUUUGGCAAAAGAAAAAUGCUAUAUUUAUAUUGAAUAUUCUGACAUUUCAACAAACAUAAAAGCAGAGUUGUAAUAAUAAUAGAUUCUGCGUUUAACCAAUUCUUUAGUUACACUAUCGGUGCAAAUGAGGUAGCUUAUCGACCGAGCAGCUACAAUCAAAAUGAGUGGAGCGACGUAUUUAUUCGAGUUUUGAUAAUUAAUAGUGAAGUAAGUAUAAAUCCUAAAGGAACCUAAUAAAUUGAUUAAUUUGCGUUUCUUCCUAUAACAUAAUAAAAAAGUCGUUUCCAAGCCUCAUUAUAGCGAUUUUAUUGAAGCCGAUAUUACUUGUUUUUACUUUUAAUAAAUUCAAUUUCAAAAAUGGAGUUUAAAAACAUUGUCGCAUUCGACACAUAGCUGGUACUUCUAACCUGAAAUUUUGUCUGUUUUAUAAUGUGGUAGUUCAUUUUUAUUUUUCAUUUGCUACGUCAAAAGUGAGUGUACAUAUAAUGACAUUAAAAACAUUAAAUUUUGAUAUAUACCCAUAGAAAAUUCUAAUUACAUUAUCAAAAUACUACAUACCUAUACCUUGUACUUAUUUUACAAAUCCAUCAGCAAAUACCUACCAUAAUGUAAUUUUCCCUAUUAGGCAAGUCUCACGUGAACCAAAUUGUUUUUAUGAAAGUCAACACACUGCCUUAGAAUUGAAUUAGAAUAGAAAGUGUCUUACCAAACAGUACAAUAAACUUUUUCCUCAAUUAAAAGAUGUGCGCUUAUAUUGUAAACAUUAACAUUUAAAAAAAAAUUCAACACUCCCAUUGGGUAAAGUAUAAAAUUUUCCAAAUUAAAAUUGGUGUUCCACUUUCCUUGUCAUUAUUUCUCUUCUCUCAUAAUAUUUUUUCUUGGAUUUUUUUAAAUUUAUUUCGAUAUAAAGAUCGUAUAAAUCUAUAACUGGCUCAUUGGAACAGUAAUUGAACUGUGUACAAAAAAUUUAACAGGCUUAAACCUUUUUCUGCUACAAAUUGUUCAUAUAACUCAUACAUUCUCUUAAUGCCCGACAAUAAUGACUCUGAAUUACGGGACACAUUUUAAUAUAUAUGUUGCAACAUAAUAUCUGUUAUUCUCCAAUAUCGAAAAAGUGAAAUAAAAAUGAGAAUUGAGUGUAUGUUUAUUAUAGUAUAAAGACGGAUAUUGGAAAAUGGAAAACAUUAAAAUAUCGGUGAUUGCAUAUGACAUGGCAAUAACGGCAGAUGAGAAAACCUUGAACUCAAACUUGAAAAUAUACAAUGAUAGUCUACUGACAUUGAUAUAAAAAAAAAAACGAACAAAAAAUAAAAUAAAAAUAAACCGAAAAGAGAAGACACACAAGUUAAAAUUAUAAGAAUCAAAUAUAGAGCAGGUCAAAAGCUUCAAUUACCUUGGCAUGACACCACACAAGAUGGAAGAUUGGAACAAGAUUUAAACGAAAGAACUGGAGCAUCUGGAAGAUUAUUCAAUGCAAUCAAGUCACAGUUUCUAGCCAAAAAGGAAAUACCAAAACAAAUAAAAACAGAAAUAUAUAAAAAACAUAGCCGCACUAAUAUUAACAUUUGGAUCUGAGACGUGCAAAUGUUAAAUUUAUUUGCUUAACUAAAAUUCAUUCAUUAUUUAUCAUCGUAUCAUUACGAAAACAUAAACUUAUACCGAGAAAUUUUUUCUUCUUAUACAAAAUUAGUUGUGUUUGUCUCAUGAUCUAUAAGAAAUUUCGGAACAUUUUUGUUAUAAAUCUUAAGCUGAGCAUAUUAAUUUGAAUAAAAAGAAUAUUUCUCUCUCAAUAAAUGUUCAUCUUUGUAUGUCAAUCACAAUACACAAAUGAUAAUGGAAGAGAAUUUGUAGGAGGCCAUUUUUUUUCAAUAAUGUAUUACUUAUUUAAUUAUACAGUUGAAAAGUAAAUAAGAACUAUUGUCCAAUUUGUUGUCAGUUAUGUACCUUUCUCCAAUAUUUGGCUUAGGUGAAGAUAUAACUGAGGAAAAUUGAUAUAAAUGAUAGUAUACAAUAGAAGCAGCAGAAAAAGAAGAAAUUUUAAGGAUAGAUCUGACCAACAUUUGUCGCAAACUGUAACUAAUAUGCUAAAUCAAAAACUUUUCAAUUAAAUAUUCAAUUAUGGCUGUGUUAAACACAUUUAUAUCUUUCUCAUAAUUCUAGUACAUCCAUCUUGUUAAUAGAAUACAAAUAGCAUCCGAAAAACUAUAAACUUUACGAAUUAAUCCCACCCCACGAAUAAACCAAUGAACCAAAAUAGUGCGGAAACAAGAAGCAACUCAGUGAAGGAUUUCUAAACCCGCCACUCGUAGGAAUCAUCGCUGCUCUAUGCGUUAACUUAAAAUUCAAAAGUUAAUAGAUGAUUCUCUGCAACUUCAAUGAAUCUGCAGUUUUGGCACCAGGUUCCCAUUAAGAAAUCUUUUUCUAUUUUUGUUUUUCGUUAUCACGACAUGAAGUAUCUUAAUGUUUGAUUGCAAAAGAAAUUUAUAUUUGAAUGCAUACACAGGCACGGUUUUGCUUUUAGAUUAGAUGAGUCUGCUUCUCACUUUUUCUAUUGUUCUAAUCAAAGACACUUUCUUCAACAGUAAGCACUUUAAAUUUUGUUGAAAGCAUGUCUCCACGCACACGAAAAACAACUGUAACCACUGAAUGCAUUAAGAGUAACUGGCAGUCGAAAACUGAUAGCCAGACAGCAUGUGACGAACUGUAAUCUCUCUCU